Molecule: long non-coding RNA, 1645 nt
Organism: Nicotiana tabacum (common tobacco)
Lineage: Eukaryota; Viridiplantae; Streptophyta; Magnoliopsida; Solanales; Solanaceae
Source: RefSeq, a predicted model, not a curated record
CUGCCGGUUGCAAAACCGAUAACAUUAAUCUAACACCUUGAUUUCUCAAAUAAGAAGGAAAAGAAGAACAAAUUUCAAGGGAAAUGAAUCCAUGCCAUAUUCAUCAUAAAAAGAUUACGUGCACAGAUUUAGUAACUUGAAGUAUCACACAACAAUGAAGCUAAAUGCAAAAAUACAAUAUCUUAUGAUCAUUAAUCAAACACUUCACCAUUUGUGAUGUGUAGAUAACCAUUUGAGAAGACCAGUCAACUUUCUCCCAACAUUGCGAUCUGCCAAUUCCGAGUUCUAGGAACGUCCAUAACAGGUUCUGAAGAAAUUUCGAUUUGAUCAUUUGAAACGGAGACGUUUUGGGAUUUAGUUGAAUUUGCACGUCAAAAGUCUAAUUUGGGGUCAACACACCACCGCCGCCGCAAACCCUUUGUUCCGUUCAACAUCAGAAUCUCGCCGUCACCUUGUACUAACUCCAUCACCAUCUCAAUCACCAUCUCCGUUAGCCGUCAUCCUCUACGAUCUCGGUUUCUAAGACCUGGCCAACGCAUCUCUCAACGCCAACAUCUCCACCAUUAAUUUCCCACUUACCAUUUUCGCCCCUACAGAUUCCUCCCUCCGCACUUGCCCUUCUUGUUCCCUUCCCCUGCUUCUUCAAGAACAUUCUGUUCUUGGUCUCUACUCUUUCCUCUUCCUCUGUAACCUAGCUUUUGUUACAAAGAUGGAAACUUUAGCCCUUCAGCCAGCUCGUCGCAAUGCAUCACCGCCGGCCAAAUUUUCGUUAACUUGGAAUUCAGGAAACAAGCUCCUUCAAAAACCCGAUACAUGAUUUCUGAUCCAUAUUCUUCUAUGAGAAAGCUAAACUCAACUUCUCCCUCUACACCAAAUGAAAAUCUUCAAAUUAAUGUAGUCUCCGUGGCACUUUAAUGGUGGUAUUAUCCGAGCCUUCAGCAACCAAAACUUCUAUAUCAUCAUACAGGGUGGAUGGAUCAUCUCCAAGAGUUGAAAUGCUUUAAUUUUGAGUGUCCAAUACACUCCUGGUUGUUUUCUAUUGUUGAUCAAACAUCAUUUUCAACUGUUUUCCUUGUUCUUCAAUCCUCAACUGUAACUUUUGCCGAAUCUAAUUACAAAGAAGACAAUACGAAUCAAAUAAGAUGUCUUGAUUCAUGAAAAAGUAUCAUGAAUGAGAGUGACAUAUGCUAGCAAAACAAAUUUGGUCCUAGUUUGCUAAAGGUGUGCUAAAAAUAAAGUACCUCUAGUUGCUCGUGAAGAUGCCUCUGGACUUCGAGCUGCAUUUGCAGUGCUUCCUUGAUUUGCAUUCCUCUGCAACACAAGUUCGGAUCAGAUUUAGUUUCAGCUAAAGUUUAUCAGGAAAAUUAAAUGAGAAAGUUGCAAAGGAAAAUAUACGUUUUGCUGUCGAUCUGUACAACAUUAUUAGGACUAUUUCUUGUUUUAGAUGCGCCUGCAAGAAGAAAACUCUGAAAAGGGAAGUGAGUGUUAUCGCAGUGUUCAGCAUCCAAAACUUCUGUAUCAUCAUAUGGGUGGGAUGGAUCAUCUCCAGGAGAUGAAAUGCUUGAAUUUUGAGUGUUUAAUAGACUUCUUGUUGUUCUUUGUUGUUGAUCAAAUAUCAUCUUCCACUGUUUUCCUUGUUCUUCAA